UAGAGAGAGAGAAUUAUAUUGAGCCCAAUACGAGCGAGUGUUCAAUUCAUUAAGAUUUCGAAUUGAAUUCGUGUUUGGCUCGUUUAUUAAAUAAGCAAUCGAUCUCGAACGCAUUUUGAGCUGAACACAGAGCUAGCUCGCGAACAGCGAGCUGAAUUACUAGUUCUAGUCUAAAAUUUUCAAUAGAAAAAAAUACCCCUCUAA
Molecule: long non-coding RNA, 204 nt
Filed under: Ananas comosus (pineapple)
Lineage: Eukaryota; Viridiplantae; Streptophyta; Magnoliopsida; Poales; Bromeliaceae
Description: long non-coding RNA (ACOM_LNC033592)
Source: RNAcentral